AAAUUGCUAGCUGCUUGGGAAGAGCGCGUGUGCGCGAUGGCACUCUGGGGCAGGGUCUCACUCUAGCCCAGACUGACUUGGAAUUCACCAUGCGGUUCCAGGCCGGCCCCAAACUCGCAGAGAUGCUCCUGCCUCAGCCGUUAUGUGGAGGAGGAACCUGCUCUCAUGUCUCCUGCGCGCUGUGCGUGACAGCGGUAAUGCGCAGUUAAACAAGGUCUCCACCAACAGAAGAAUGGACAGGAAAAUGACAGAUCUUUACGCAAGGAGAUAUUGUUCAUCCCUUAAAAGAAUGGCAUCCUGAGCUCUGGAGAGAAGGCUUAGUGGGUAACGCUGUGUUCCCUGAGCUGAUCUCGCCUCACUAAAUGAAGUGGAGAGGCUUCUCAGAAGACACCCUGCUUCACCCUCUGGCCCCUAUAUUUGAUUCUUAUGAAGUUCCCCUCCCAGAGGGAGAGAGAAAGCAGAAUGGAAGGGUUGCGGUACUCAGGAAUAAAAGUAGGCCACUGCUCCUCCCUCCUCAGCCAUAAGCACUGAGCGUGGAUUGUCAUUAAACAAACGGACUUAGCUGCUUGUCACCUUCCUCCUCCUCCUCUUCAUUCUUUCGCUCUAACUUACUCUUGAGUCAUAGGGAAGAAGACCAUCUAUGCAGGGACCUCAGGGACGCCUGCCUUCCUCACCUCCUCUCGACUUAACUCAGUGUCUUCGAACCACUUGUCGAUUCUGCAUCUAUUCUAAGCGAUGAAAUCUGGUUCAUUGGCGCCAAGAAGAAAAUCUUCCGAUUGCCUCUGACUUCUCAUCAUUCAACCCUGUCACUGGCACUUGAGAGCAGUAAGACCAAGCAACGGGUGUCCUCUGAACAUCUGACGCUGUCCCCUAUCUUUACGCUCUUUGCACCACGGUACCUUCCUCUGGGAAUUCCCUUCCCGCUUGUCCUGUUGGGAAGGGCCAGGUGGUAAGGGAUAACUGUCGGUGCCACCCUUUUUUGUCUAUAUCCUUUUCUGUUAGACAAGAGUUCCUGGGAAACCUGACUGUGAGAGUCCCUGUUUAGUGUAUCCGAAAAAUUCUGGAAAAGGACAUACUUAUUCUCAAGGGGUUAGAUGCAAUUUAAAAUAAUAUGCUUAGUCUUUAAAGCAACAGGUUCAUUUGAUAUCACUAUAGAAUGUUCCCCCCCAAGCUUUUGAAACAGGAAAAUAGUGUAUUUAUUUACUAUUUCAUUAUCCCAAGGCUUCAAAUUUAGAGGAAUCUAACCUGAAAACCUGUCUGGAGAUUGACGAACAACAUACUAAGCAGAUGUAUCCAUAUGAGAUAUGUUAAAACCAAAAAAGAAAAGUUAAGAUACUGUAUAACUAUAAACAUAUUUUAGGUCCUAAUUUUCAGAAAGACACCCUGUAAUCCUAGCCUUGGGCACUCUGUCCCCCCACCCGGCUCAUAACUUGUGUCUGCUCAGUUGUCUGAAACUGAACAGAGUGGUCAGCUUACAAGUCCAGGGGCUGAUGGUCCUAGCUUCGUCUCUGGAUGACUUCUACCUGCUUCCGUCUCCUCAUCCAUCAUACUCCUCUGCUUAUUCUCCCUCACUCAGUUUGUAUUGCUGGAUAAAGUAUACUUACAUGCUUUUCACAUUUACUUGAGAAAUUGUCCCCCAAAUUUUCCUCGUUAGUGACAUAACAAGUUCCUGAGGAAUGGCGGUAAUAAAUGGAGCACUGGUGCGGAUAAGGCCUUAGAAGCAGCUAGUGGAGCAUUCGUUUAUUCAACGAAUAUUUCUUCAGCCUUCCUUACAUGUCAGGCCAAGCCAGGCAGCGGCCUCCCAGACUGAUAGAUGUAUACUGUUUUAACCAACAUAGUCAACUGAAAUCGCAGAAUUUCCAAGUGCCUGAAGCUUGCAAGUGGGCAAAUGACGUCUAGACAUCUGGGACCAGGAGAGUGGGCCACACCAGCCAGUUAAAGUUUAGCAUAGCUACAUUUGCCAUGUCAGGUUAGUUCUUACGUAAGCAAGAGACUUUGUCUAUGUUUCAAUGAAAUUCAAAACAUAAUUGAAAAAAACAGGGUUUAAGCUGGGCAAGGUGGUGCACGCCUUUAAUCCCAGCACUCGGGAGGCAGAGGUAGGAGGAUCACCAUAAGUUCGAGGCCACCCUGAUACUGUGAAUUCCAAGUCAGCCUGGGCUAGAGUGAAAAACGAUUGGGAAUGGAGAUGGCUCGGUGCCCUCAUCCGAGCGCAAGGGACACAAAGACAAUCCCUAGAGUUUAUCCGUUACCAAUCAAGGCCAGGAUCGGGAAAAGACCUUGUCUCAAAGAAUGAGGAAGAAAACCACCGAGGAAUGUGCCUGAUGAGGUUUCUAGUUCCCACAUGUGUACUCAUGCAUGCAUGUGCACAUACACACGCACAUACGUGCAUAUAAGCCACACAUAGACACAUGCACACAAGUAACUGUAAACACUUAGCAGCACCUUUGGGGCCAAGCGUAGCACCUCGGUGUAAUAGGUCCUCACAGGCACCACUUUCCUAACGUGGUCUCACAUCAACCAACUGGUCUCCUAGGAUGAGAGCUCUCCAUCUUUGGAAGUUGUGGUAGUCUGAAUAUAAUGAUGUAAAUGUUUGCCCCCCCGUGGUGUUUUAGUAAGGAUAAGCUUCCUGCUUAAGUUCCCCAGCAGCCUGCGGGAGGGGGCGUGUCACGGGGGUGGAUCUAAUUCCUGCCCAGAGGUGUAUAAGGAGCAGUUUGAGUUGGGUGUUCUUGCUUGCUUGCUUGCUUGUGGCUCUGGCUGUUGGUGGUGUGUCUCUGCUGGGGUCUACAAAAGGGAGCCAACUUCUUCUGCCAUUGAUGGAACUUGCCCUGGAAUGAUAAGCUGAAAUAUGUCCAUCCCUCGCAUCAACUCUCUGGCUGGAUGUUCGUCUCAGCAGCCAGGAGCUAACUGCAACAGAAGGGUUCACUUAGUGUUUAAUACUGUUACUAUAGUAUCUUUAGAUUUAGAAAGAGCAUUCACAUACCCCAGGCGAGGGAGUUAGGUAAGCAGCCUGUGAGAUACCAGUACGGUAAUGGUAUCGGUGUGAAAAAUCACAGGAGUUUACCAUGCGUGUCACUAGGGUGGUGACUCUGGAACUCUUGGCUCCUUAACCCUGAGAAAAGCAAUGCCAAAUACAACUUGCUGUGAAAAUCUCAUAAAGUUUUUACUUCAGAAAGAUAUUAUAUUCUCCAACAAAAGCAUUUCAGGAACUCUUACUGAAGAAAUAUUUCUUAGCCAGGCAUGGUGGCGCACGCCU
This is a long non-coding RNA of Jaculus jaculus (lesser Egyptian jerboa), 3253 nucleotides long. RefSeq lists it as uncharacterized. NCBI's taxonomy places the organism in Eukaryota, Metazoa, Chordata, Mammalia, Rodentia, Dipodidae. The transcript has 4 exons. The record is from RefSeq and is a predicted model, not a curated record.